Pygocentrus nattereri (red-bellied piranha) is the source of this 202-nucleotide long non-coding RNA. RefSeq lists it as uncharacterized. The record is from RefSeq and is a predicted model, not a curated record. Lineage: Eukaryota; Metazoa; Chordata; Actinopteri; Characiformes; Serrasalmidae. The transcript has 2 exons.
UACAUUUGUUGUUUUUCCGCUUUUGACUCUUAGUGCCAUCUAAUGGCGAGUGGCUAUAAGCAGCAAGUAGGUUAGGGAAGCAGCCGUGUCAUGGUCAAGCUUUCGAACACAAAACCAAUCCUCGUAUCAUCUGUGAGCCUUGGCAAUUCAUAAUCUUUUUACAGUAAAAAUGUGUCUCAGUAAAGAACAGAAGACAACGUCA